Molecule: long non-coding RNA, 1057 nt
Organism: Capsicum annuum
Lineage: Eukaryota; Viridiplantae; Streptophyta; Magnoliopsida; Solanales; Solanaceae
Exons: 2
Source: RefSeq, a predicted model, not a curated record
UGUCACAUACAUUAUAUUGGAAUAGGGCGAGUAAUAAAUUAACAAUUUAAAAUAUUUAGAAAGAUUUGACAAAAUUAUAAUUAAAAAAAAUAGUACUUAUCUAAUUGUCCAAAUUUUCUGCUAUAGAAGAAGUGUCACGGAUAUCAACAUGGUUGCUACCCGCCAUAAAAUUCAUUCUAAGGAUAUUUUUGUCAUUUUAUCCAUAUAUUUAUGAAGAUAUAUUUCUUAGUUUUGAAUAAGCUAUAUACAGUUGUUAAUAUAUUGUUAUGUGUCAGAAUAAUUGCUAGCCCGCUUUUGUGUCUAAUCCAACAGAUAAUAUUUUUGGCUUUUAUUUUGCUUUUUGUUUUAUUUUCAUUUUUCACUUUCUCUUCCCUUGAUCCUUCAUUUCAUUCUUUGUGAUUUAAACUCUAUUCAUUUCAACAUUUCUUUUUAAUUUUGAAUUACUCAUUGAUCUUCUCAUUAUCUCCGAUUGUGCUGAGUAUAUCUCCAUUCUCCAUUUAUUUUGAUUUUGAUAAGUGUUUAUAUUUUUUCCUUUUUCAUGGAGUGUUUAUCUUAUUUGUACUCCUGUUGACUGGCAAUAAUGAUAUUUUGAGGUUGUUAUGCAUGUCUGCCGAUAGAUUAAUUUUGAGUUUAAUUUAUAUAGAUGAUAAAUUUAUUCCGUUUCAGUAUUUUAUGAUCCUCAUUCACAGGUAGUUCAAUCUAAUUGAAGCCUUUUCUGUUUUUUCCUUUUCAGGAUCCAGUAUUCUUGUGAGAUUAAUUUCUAGAGAAUCUGCUUCUGAAUUCAAGCUGAGAAGUCAAGAUCACUCACAAGUUGAUGAAAGAGAAAAAGACAAUGUAACUGAUUCACAUGUGUGUUAAUCCAGUCGAAGAAUCUGCUCCAGCUUUCAAGACGAUUACUUUUGACAAAUCUAGCUUCGUACUUGCCCCUGAUUCUCUAUUCGGUACAUGUAAAUUUAUACCAUAAACGAUGUGUAUGAUUCUUUACUUGAUGAGGAUUGAAUUAUACAUGAUUAAAAUUUGUUGUGAGACUUAUAAAGCUCAUAGACAUAAAAUUUAA